This 1354-nucleotide long non-coding RNA is filed under the name Marmota monax (woodchuck). Lineage: Eukaryota; Metazoa; Chordata; Mammalia; Rodentia; Sciuridae. The record is from RNAcentral.
UAUUAUUCAGUUUUGUGCGGUGCUUGGAAAGUACUUCGUCAAUUUCGAACUUCGAUGAUUUUUGACUGCCUUUGCUCAGAAGAGCUGUUGGAAAGGUAAGAAAAACAAAACAUUUUAGUAAAACCGUGGAUGAUUAUUAUUAAUGGGGCUUUUGGGGCUACGUCCUUAUACAAUAGAGGAUUAAGUUCGAUUGUUUUUUUCAAGGUCGUAAUACCGCAGUUCAGAAGAAAACCAACAGACCGUCCCAACCGAGAAGAUGCCUCCUCUUGAAGCGGAUAUACCAGUGGUACCCGUGGAAAAACAAGAUAUGGAAAGUAUUAAGCGUCGUAUAAUAGAGGAGAUUAAAGACCUGUGCUUAGUGAUGAGGAAAGUUAUGUCAGAGCACUUGGAAGGCUUCAGGGAGUUCGAGUUAACAAAAAUGUGUAAGCCGGAUUGGCCACCAAGUGAGACAACCAAAGUAAAUGCCAAACAAGAGGAUGUAGAGAAAAGGGGAGAUGAAAUCAAGACAAGAGGAGAAAAAGAGAAUUAGAAGGGGGAUCCAGGAGAAACAGCCUAUGCAUAAUAGAAAUACCUGAAACAGGACAGAGCAAAUGAAGCUGAAAUAAUAAAACUAACUAACUAACUGAGGAAACUUUUCCAGAGUUGAAGGUCUGCAAAUGGAAAAGGCUCACAGGGUACUUUUAAAAAUUUAAUGAAAAGGAAGCAACGCCUAGACAUAUUCUGGUGACUUUUUAAAAUUUCGAGGAUAAAGAAAAACUUACAGAUAUCCAGACAAAGAAAGCAGGUUACCGAGAGAGCUGCAAAACUCAGGCUGCCCUUAAGGUUUUUCUUGUGCAGUUCUAAAUGGCGGAAGACAAUGGAACGGUAUCAACAAAGUUUUGUGGGUAAAUCAUUUUGAACCUGGAAUUAUAUACCCUGCCAAGUUAUUUAUUUAUUUUUUUUUCUGUUUGCAGGCAAUUGGAAGAUAGAUAUGCAGAGGUUAAGAAAAUAUAUAUCAACUAAGAACCUGCUCUGAAAAUCUUGCUGAUUUACUGCAGCCGGUAGAGAAUGCGAAUUAAAAUAAGUAGGGAGGCAAUUGUAUGAAAGAAUUAAUGGUAAGCAUUAAAACUAGUUAAAGAGCAUUGCAUUUCCUUUGUUACAUGUAAGGUAAUAAAGGUAAAUAUAAAAAUAGAUUUGUAAGCAGCAUGUAAAAUUUUUAACUUUAUAGUUUUAAGCUGCCAAAAGGCAAGCCAAAUACUCAAAUGUAUUGGUCAAAUAUUGUUUUAUUUUUGCCAUGUAGUAUUGUAGCUAAAAACACAUGUUGUUAAGAAAGAAAAGGGCUUUGUCACUGUGGAAAGGACAUGUACAAUAAAAU